Molecule: ribosomal RNA, 551 nt
Filed under: uncultured Hebeloma
Lineage: Eukaryota; Fungi; Basidiomycota; Agaricomycetes; Agaricales; Cortinariaceae
Description: eukaryotic LSU rRNA
Rfam family: 5.8S ribosomal RNA (bases 215-368)
Source: RNAcentral
CGCUGGUCCUUUCGGGGGCAUGUGCACGCCCACCAUCCUCAUCUCUCCACCUGUGCACCUCUUGUAGACUUGGAUUGACUUUCCGAGGCAACUCGGUCGGGAGGAUUGCCGGCGCCAGCUGGCUUUCUUUGCAUUUCCGGGUCUACGUUUUUCAUAUACCCCAUUGUAUGUAACAGAAUGUAACAUUGGGCCCUUGUGCCUAUAAACUUUAUACAACUUUCAGCAACGGAUCUCUUGGCUCUCGCAUCGAUGAAGAACGCAGCGAAAUGCGAUAAGUAAUGUGAAUUGCAGAAUUCAGUGAAUCAUCGAAUCUUUGAACGCACCUUGCGCUCCUUGGUAUUCCGAGGAGCAUGCCUGUUUGAGUGUCAUUAAAUUCUCAACCUUUAUCACCUUUUGCUGAUAAUGGCUUGGAUAUGGGGGUCUAUUUUGCUGGCUUCUUUACAGAUGGUCAGCUCCCCUUAAAUGCAUUAGCCGGUGCCCCGCGUGGACUGUCUAUUGGUGUGAUAAUUAUCUACGCCGUGGACAUCUGCAAUCAUAUGGGUUUGCACUGC